GGGUCAGUGGCUCAGAGCGCUGGAUGCUCUCCAGAGGACCUGGGUUCAAUCCCCAGCACCCA
RNAcentral lists this transfer RNA (62 nucleotides) under Mesocricetus auratus (golden hamster). It matches the Rfam family "tRNA". From Rfam's summary of the family: Transfer RNA (tRNA) molecules are approximately 80 nucleotides in length. Their secondary structure includes four short double-helical elements and three loops (D, anti-codon, and T loops). The record is from Rfam by way of RNAcentral. Lineage: Eukaryota; Metazoa; Chordata; Mammalia; Rodentia; Cricetidae.